CCCUUAGAUGUCCGGGGCCGCACGCGCGCUACACUGAAGGAAUCAGCGUGGCUUUCUCCCUGACCCGAAAGGGUUGGGAAACCCGUUGAAUCUCCUUCGUGAUAGGGAUUGGGGCUUGAAAUUGUUCCCCAUGAACGAGGAAUUCCCAGUAAGCGCGAGUCAUAAACUCGCGUUGAUUACGUCCCUGCCCUUUGUACACACCGCCCGUCGCUACUACCGAUUGAACGGUUUAGUGAGGGCCUCGGAUUGGUCUCGGCCCGCUCUUUACCGGGCGGCGCCGUUGGUCGAGAAGACGCUCGAACUUGAUCGUUUAGAGGAAGUAAAAGUCGUAACA
Molecule: ribosomal RNA, 334 nt
Filed under: uncultured eukaryote
Lineage: Eukaryota
Description: partial 18S ribosomal RNA
Rfam family: Eukaryotic small subunit ribosomal RNA
Source: RNAcentral